RNAcentral lists this ribosomal RNA (351 nucleotides) under Triticum aestivum (bread wheat). RNAcentral describes it as "partial small subunit ribosomal RNA". Lineage: Eukaryota; Viridiplantae; Streptophyta; Magnoliopsida; Poales; Poaceae. The record is from RNAcentral.
AUGGCGGACGCGCAACCCCUUCGUUGGUGCGCCGACGACGAGGCCAUCUGUGGCCCGUCCACUGAGGGUAUGAUGCAACUGAGCUCGAUCGUGCCCCUUGCGGCGGCCGCCAGAGUCCUGCUGGAGGUUAACGCCGGGAUGGGAGUCGGCGCUAAGGCGGGCGUGGGAGGGGUUGGAGUCGGAGCUAAUGCUAAGGCUGGAGGCAAACAUUUCAAACACAAAAAGGCGGGAGGCAAAGGUGCUAGCCCUGCCCCGCCCCCAUCCGCCGUCGACUGCGGCGACAACAGCGACCCCUGCGUCGGCGGGGGCGGGAAUGGCUACGGCUAUUACGAUUACGCGGACUACCCCUGA